AUUGAACGCUGGCGGCAGGCCUAACACAUGCAAGUCGAGCGGCAGCGGGACCUUCGGGUUGCCGGCGAGCGGCGGACGGGUGAGUAAUGCCUAGGAAUCUGCCUGUUAGUGGGGGAUAACGCGGGGAAACUCGCGCUAAUACCGCAUACGUCCUACGGGAGAAAGCGGGGGCUCUUCGGACCUCGCGCUAACAGAUGAGCCUGGGUCGGAUUAGCUAGUUGGUGGGGUAAUGGCCCACCAAGGCGACGAUCCGUAACUGGUCUGAGAGGAUGAUCAGUCACACUGGAACUGAGACACGGUCCAGACUCCUACGGGAGGCAGCAGUGGGGAAUAUUGGACAAUGGGCGAAAGCCUGAUCCAGCCAUGCCGCGUGUGUGAAGAAGGUCUUCGGAUUGUAAAGCACUUUAAGUCGGGAGGAAGGACUGUAGGCUAAUACCUUGCAGUUUUGACGUUACCGACAGAAUAAGCACCGGCUAACUUCGUGCCAGCAGCCGCCGUAA
This 500-nucleotide ribosomal RNA is filed under the name uncultured bacterium. RNAcentral's name for it is "partial 16S ribosomal RNA". It matches the Rfam family "Bacterial small subunit ribosomal RNA", at positions 30 to 523 of the family's 1533-position model. The record is from RNAcentral.